This 760-nucleotide ribosomal RNA is filed under the name uncultured bacterium. Its description in RNAcentral is "bacterial SSU rRNA". It matches the Rfam family "Bacterial small subunit ribosomal RNA", at positions 1 to 809 of the family's 1533-position model. The record is from RNAcentral.
CUUAGAGUUUGAUCCUGGCUCAGGAUGAACGCUGGCGGUAUGCUUAACACAUGCAAGUCGAACGGUGUCUUCGGACAUAGUGGCGGACGGGUGAGUAACGCGUGAGAAUCUAGCUUCAGGUCUGGGACAACCACUGGAAACGGUGGCUAAUACCGGAUGUGCCGGAAGGUGAAAGGCUUGCUGCCUGAAGAUGAGCUCGCGUCCGAUUAGCUAGUAGGUGGGGUAAGAGCCUACCUAGGCGACGAUCGGUAGCUGGUCUGAGAGGAUGACCAGCCACACUGGGACUGAGACACGGCCCAGACUCCUACGGGAGGCAGCAGUGGGGAAUUUUCCGCAAUGGGCGAAAGCCUGACGGAGCAAUACCGCGUGAGGGAGGAAGGCUCUUGGGUUGUAAACCUCUUUUCUCAGGGAAGAACACAAUGACGGUACCUGAGGAAUCAGCAUCGGCUAACUCCGUGCCAGCAGCCGCGGUAAUACGGAGGAUGCAAGCGUUAUCCGGAAUGAUUGGGCGUAAAGCGUCCGCAGGUGGCUGUGUAAGUCUGCUGUCAAAGAGCAAAGCUCAACUUUGUAAAGGCAGUGGAAACUACACGGCUAGAGUGCGUUCGGGGCAGAGGGAAUUCCUGGUGUAGCGGUGAAAUGCGUAGAGAUCAGGAAGAACACCGGUGGCGAAGGCGCUCUGCUAGGCCGCAACUGACACUGAGGGACGAAAGCUAGGGGAGCGAAUGGGAUAAGAGACCCCAGUAGUCCUAGCUGUAAACGA